GACGAACGCUGGCGGCGUGCUUAACACAUGCAAGUCGAACGGAAAGGCCCUGCUUUUGUGGGGUGCUCGAGUGGCGAACGGGUGAGUAACACGUGAGUAACCUGCCCUUUACUUUGGGAUAACUUCAGGAAACUGGGGCUAAUACCGGCUAGUAGCUCCUGCUGCAUGGUGGGGGUUGGAAAGUUUCGGCGGUUGGGGAUGGACGCGCGGCUAAUCUGCUUGUUGGUGGGGUAGUGGCUUACCAAGGCUUUGACGUGCAGCCGGCCUGAGAGGGGGACCAGGCACAAGAGGACUAAGGGAGGGACCAGAGGGGAACGUGGGGCAGCGGGGGCAAGCAUGACGCAGAGAGCCGGCGCGUGAGAAAAAGACGUCGGGUGGGGAAUGAAGGUUUAGGGGGGAGAAAGGGAGUAAGGCUGAGAAGUUGACUGAGUGACGGUAACGGGAGAAGAAGCACCGGCUAACUACGUG
This 468-nucleotide ribosomal RNA is filed under the name uncultured bacterium. RNAcentral's name for it is "partial 16S ribosomal RNA". It matches the Rfam family "Bacterial small subunit ribosomal RNA", at positions 28 to 507 of the family's 1533-position model. The record is from RNAcentral.